This is a long non-coding RNA of Homo sapiens (human), 481 nucleotides long. Ensembl annotates it as long intergenic non-protein coding RNA 1255. The record is from Ensembl. NCBI's taxonomy places the organism in Eukaryota, Metazoa, Chordata, Mammalia, Primates, Hominidae.
GGUAUAUCCAGGACAUCAGCACAUAGAACCAGUGAAAGGGUCCUCCCUCAUAGUGACGCAUGUCAUAGACUCAGAUUUAUACAAACAAAUGCUGAGCAAACCAUGAAGAGUCUCUGGUAUUUUCAACAAUAUCAUCACAGAGGAACUGUAUUGAUUUCCUUACACAACCCUCCAUCCAUCUGAGUGAUCCUGGAAGGACUCAUGGAAUAGUGAGACGGGGAGCGGUUCAACAGACCAUCAACGGCAGGUCUGUCUUGUCCAUUCCUCAACAAAUGCUGAAGUGCCUCAGCUGCGGCCCCACGCUCAGGUUCCAGCCAAGGCUGACUUCACUGGAGCAUGCUGCGCUCAGCAAAGACAGCGACAAGGAUCCCAUCAUUCGACCACACAGCAAUACUGGAGGAGGCAAGACCUAAUUCAUCUACAAUACUUGGCCCACUGUUUUAAUCACUGCGACAACCAAAUAAAAUCGUUAGGUAUCUAA